This 1645-nucleotide long non-coding RNA is filed under the name Triticum aestivum (bread wheat). RNAcentral describes it as "long non-coding RNA (TAES_LNC002940)". Lineage: Eukaryota; Viridiplantae; Streptophyta; Magnoliopsida; Poales; Poaceae. The record is from RNAcentral.
AAAAGAUGGAAGGAACAAGAGGUGGAAGCAAGCUCCCUGCAUAUGAACAAUCAAGAGUUAGGCUCGUAGCAGACAUGAAUUGGUAAACUCGAGCACCUCUCUUUGAAAGUGAUGCAUACGAUUAGUUAGUUUUCUAAUUACUAGGGAAAAUAAACUUGUUGCGGGCUGAAGAACUUGGCUAUGACCCACAGAGAGAUGAAAUAUUUGUUAGAGCACAUACACAUAAAAUUGGAGUUCCUACCGCACAAGCAGACACUAAUUGGUAGCCACACAUACACAUCAUGUGUUUUCUUUAGUACAACCAUGCACGUGACUGCAUAUCAAUCGAUGAGAAGUAUAGACUGCACUGACUUAAUUGUAGAACUAAAUUAGGUACCUCAUUUGCUGUAUUUUUUCCAGAACAACCUGAAGAAGCAGCUGAACCGCCAACAACACUUGCAAUGGAAAUUAAAUUUCAUUGACAAGAUGAACAUGUUUCUACUCUACUAGAGCUCACGGAACAAAUGCAACGAAAAAUUGGAGAGAUGCAUCAAGUUCUCUUUUCUCAAGGAAUCGGAAAUGUCGAAAUACCAGGUAUUGUUCUUGUCAACUUUUUUCCAUGAGAUGACAUUGCUAUGUUUUGUUUGAUACUUAGGUCAGGAAGACAGGUUCAGAAUUGGGAAAAGGGUCCUGGAUUUGAACUAAACACUAUUAUUUUUCUUAUGGGACAUCUUUGUAUUUUUCUUGAAGGUUUCAUGCGUCAUAACUAAACACAUAUAGUUCAAUUUGUAGUGUCAUUAUAAAUAGAUAAUGCAUCAGGCUACUAGAUAUCUAGCUUCUAUCAGAAAUAGAUAAGAACUGAGGGCAUGAUAAGGUGAUACUAAAUCUGGGUUAUAGCAGAACAUAGAAUUUUUGGUUUCUAUGUUUAUAUGUGUGCAGCGCAGCCCCCAUUAUCAUGCAAACAAUAUCAAGUUAUGAGGCUUGAUCUUGGAAGCUAGCAGAAAUGUGUAAUUUAGUACACAAGCUCUGAAUGUUUGCUUGCAUAUUUGUUCAAAUAUGGUGAGUGGUACAAUUGUCCGUCAGUGUGCAAUUCCUAGUAGCUAAAUUGAAGCCUGCUCUCUUUUAAAGAGCAGCCACAAAAAAAUACUUGACCGCUAUUUUUAGGGAAGCAUAUUUAGUUCAAUCCACAUAUUAGGAUUACACCUGACUCCUUUUUUGCAACAUAGAUUCCGGAAUACAUUCCUGACCUCGCACAUCCAAUCACCGGUCUGAUCUUGUUGUCCAAUGACCGAGAGUUCUGAGACGAAUGCGUGGCACUCCUCAGGAAACAUAGGUGAGAAUAAGAUGAUCUUGCACUCAUUUUUUAAUUAUCUUUUCCCUAUAGACAUCUACGUAUAAUAUUGGCACUAGGUUAAUGUAAUUUCUAUUGUAUUCAUGUUGUAAAGAAUGGCUUCAACAUCACAGGAUGUGCAAUAAUAAGAGAAAAUUUAGCAUCCACUAUACAGAGAAAAUUCCAUAUCAAAUGUACUUAAACACACUAUAUGUUCAAAUUUGAACCUGUUUGUCAAUGUAUUUCUUGUUUUGCUUCUGGUGGUGCUUGAUUGCACCCCUCUUCUUUUGUCGCUGUUUAUCACCCCCUUGUUGUAGUCUUUUCCCUCCACUAUAU